Molecule: RNase P RNA, 326 nt
Filed under: Bacteroidales bacterium
Lineage: Bacteria; Pseudomonadati; Bacteroidota; Bacteroidia; Bacteroidales
Description: partial RNase P RNA component class A
Rfam family: Bacterial RNase P class A
About the family: Ribonuclease P (RNase P) is a ubiquitous endoribonuclease, found in archaea, bacteria and eukarya as well as chloroplasts and mitochondria.
Source: RNAcentral
CAACACAGAGCGCCAUACUUCCUAACGGGAAGCCGUCCUUAGUGCAGUGGGGACGAGGGAAAGUGCCACAGAAAAAAACCGCCCUGCCAGUCAGGGUAAGGGUGAAAAUGUGAGGUAAGAGCUCACAAUCGAUGCAGGUGACUGUGUUGAUGGGUAAACCCUAUGGGUUGAAAGACCAAAUAUACCGGGGCUAUCAGGGCUGCUCGCCCAAUCCCGGAGGGUAGGUCGUUAGAGGCAGGGUGCAAAUCCUGUUCCAGAUAAAUGACAGGGAACUUUUCCAUUAGGAAAUGUACUUACAGAACCCGGCUUACAGGCCCAACUUGCUG